UUAGAAUUUCUAAUGGAAGCCAAAAUUAC
Molecule: small RNA, 29 nt
Filed under: Bombyx mori (domestic silkworm)
Lineage: Eukaryota; Metazoa; Arthropoda; Insecta; Lepidoptera; Bombycidae
Description: ovarian small RNA-3953
Source: RNAcentral